Podospora didyma is the source of this 89-nucleotide non-coding RNA. NCBI's taxonomy places the organism in Eukaryota, Fungi, Ascomycota, Sordariomycetes, Sordariales, Podosporaceae. The record is from the annotation of a GenBank genome assembly.
UCUUCCGUAGUAUAGUGGUCAGUAUAUGAGCUUGUCAUCUUAGCGAUAAGACCUCGCUCGGGACCCGGGUUCAAUUCCCGGCGGGAGAG